GACGAACGCUGGCGGCGUGCUUAACACAUGCAAGUCGAACGGAAAGGCCCUGCUUGCAGGGUACUCGAGUGGCGAACGGGUGAGUAACACGUGGGUGAUCUGCCCUGCACUUCGGGAUAAGCCUGGGAAACUGGGUCUAAUACCGGAUAGGAGCCAUUUUUAGUGUGAUGGUUGGAAAGUUUUUUCGGUGUAGGAUGAGCUCGCGGCCUAUCAGCUUGUUGGUGGGGUAAUGGCCUACCAAGGCGGCGACGGGUAGCCGGCCUGAGAGGGUGGACGGCCACAGUGGGACUGAGAUACGGCCCAGACUCCUACGGGAGGCAGCAGUGGGGAAUAUUGCACAAUGGGCGCAAGCCUGAUGCAGCGACGCCGCGUGGGGGAUGGCGGCCUUCGGGUUGUAAACUCCUUUCGCUAGGGACGAAGCUUUUUGUGACGGUACCUAGAUAAGAAGCACCGGCUAACUACGUG
RNAcentral lists this ribosomal RNA (465 nucleotides) under uncultured bacterium. Its description in RNAcentral is "partial 16S ribosomal RNA". It matches the Rfam family "Bacterial small subunit ribosomal RNA", at positions 28 to 507 of the family's 1533-position model. The record is from RNAcentral.